UAAGCGGAGGAAAAGAAACUAACAAGGAUUCCCCUAGUAACGGCGAGUGAAGCGGGAAGAGCUCAAAUUUGAAAUCUGGCACUUUCAGUGUCCGAGUUGUAAUCUCGAGAAGUGUUUUCCGCGCUGGACCGCAUAUAAGUCUGUUGGAAUACAGCGUCAUAGUGGUGAGAACCCCGUAAAUGAUGCGGACGCCCAGUGCUUUGUGAUACACUUUCGAAGAGUCGAGUUGUUUGGGAAUGCAGCUCAAAUUGGGUGGUAAAUUCCAUCUAAAGCUAAAUAUUGGCGAGAGACCGAUAGCGAACAAGUACCGUGAGGGAAAGAUGAAAAGCACUUUGGAAAGAGAGUUAACAGUACGUGAAAUUGUUGGAAGGGAAACGCUUGAAGUCAGACUUGCUGUUUGGAAUUCAGCCGCAAGGUGUACUUUUCAGAUAUGCAGGCCAGCAUCAGUUUUUGGGGGUGAAAAAGGGUAUUGAGAAGGUAGCAGUUUCGGCUGUGUUAUAGCUCUUUACUGGAUUCAUCCUUGGGGACUGAGGAACGCAGCUCACUUUUUGCACGACCCUCGGGUUGUUCUGAGCUUAGGAUGCUGG
This 587-nucleotide ribosomal RNA is filed under the name Slooffia tsugae. RNAcentral describes it as "eukaryotic LSU rRNA". It matches the Rfam family "Eukaryotic large subunit ribosomal RNA", at positions 47 to 629 of the family's 3401-position model. Lineage: Eukaryota; Fungi; Basidiomycota; Microbotryomycetes; Chrysozymaceae. The record is from RNAcentral.